This 1050-nucleotide ribosomal RNA is filed under the name uncultured haloarchaeon. RNAcentral describes it as "bacterial SSU rRNA". It matches the Rfam family "Archaeal small subunit ribosomal RNA", at positions 1 to 1047 of the family's 1478-position model. The record is from RNAcentral. Lineage: Archaea; Methanobacteriati; Methanobacteriota; Halobacteria; Halobacteriales; Halobacteriaceae.
UUUUCCGGUUGAUCCCGCCGGAGGCCAUUGCUAUCGGAGUCCGAUUUAGCCAUGCUAGUUGCACGGGUUUAGACCCGUGGCGAAAAGCUCAGUAACACGUGGCCAAGCUACCCUGUGGACUGGAAUAACUUCGGGAAACUGAGGACAAUUCCGGAUAACGCUCCCCUAUUGGAAUAUGGGGAGCCGGAAACGUUCAGGCGCCACAGGAUGCGGCUGCGGCCGAUUAGGUUGACGGUGGGGUAACGGCCCACCGUGCCCAUAAUCGGUACGGGUUGUGAGAGCAAGAGCCCGGAGACGGAAUCUGAGACAAGAUUCCGGGCCCUACGGGGCGCAGCAGGCGCGAAACCUUUACACUGCACGCCAGUGCGAUAAGGGGACUCCAAGUGCGAGGGCAUAUCGUCCUCGCUAUCCUGUACUGUAGGGUAGUACAGUAUCAAGAGCUGGGCAAGACCGGUGCCAGCCGCCGCGGUAAUACCGGCAGCUCGAGUGAUGGCCGAUCUUAUUGGGCCUAAAGCGUCCGUAGCUGGCCUCGCAAGUCCGUCGGGAAAUCCAUCAGCUCAACUGAUGGGCGUCCGGCGGAAACUACAAGGCUUGGGACCGGAAGGCUCGAGGGGUACGUCCGGGGUAGGAGUGAAAUCCCGUAAUCCCGAACGGACCACCGAUGGCGAAAGCACCUCGAGAAGACGGCUCCGACAGUGAGGGACGAAAGCUAGGGUCUCGAACCGGAUUAGAUACCCGGGUAGUCCUAGCCGUAAACGAUGUUCGCUAGGUGUGGCACUCGCUACGAGCGAGUGCUGUGCCGUAGGGAAGCCGAGAAGCGAACCGCCUGGGAAGUACGUCUGCAAGGAUGAAACUUAAAGGAAUUGGCGGGGGAGCACUACAACCGGAGGAGCCUGCGGUUUAAUUGGACUCAACGCCGGACAUCUCACCAGCUCCGACUACAGUGAUGACGAUCAGGUUGACGACCUCGUCACGAUGCUGUAAAAGAGGAGGUGCAUGGCCGCCGUCAGCUCGUACCGUGAGGCGUCCUGUUAAGUCAGGCAACGAGCG